CCUACGGGUGGCAGCAGUGAGGAAUAUUGGUCAAUGGCCGUAAGGCUGAACCAGCCAAGUAGCGUGAGGGAAGACUGCCCUAUGGGUUGUAAACCUCUUUUAUGAGGGGAUAAAGUUGUCCACGUGUGGAUGUUUGCAGGUACCUCAUGAAUAAGGAUCGGCUAACUCCGUGCCAGCAGCCGCGGUAAUACGGAAGGUUCGGGCGUUAUCCGGAUUUAUUGGGUUUAAAGGGAGCGUAGGCCGGUCUUUAAGCGUGCCGUGAAAUUCUGUGGCUCAACCCUGGGAGGGCGGCGCAAACUGGAGGCCUUGAGUGGGCGGAAGGCAGGCGGAAUUCGUGGUGUAGCGGUGAAAUGCUUAGAUAUCACGCAGAACCCCGAUUGCGAAGGCAGCAUGCCGCAGCGUUACUGACGCUGAAGCUCGAAAGCGCGGGUAUCGAACAGGAUUAGAUACCCUUGUAGUC
Molecule: ribosomal RNA, 460 nt
Filed under: uncultured bacterium
Lineage: Bacteria
Description: partial 16S ribosomal RNA
Rfam family: Bacterial small subunit ribosomal RNA
Source: RNAcentral